AACAGGAUUAGAUACCCUGGUAGUCCACGCCGUAAACGAUGUCGACUUGGAGGCUGUUCCCUUGAGGAGUGGCUUCCGGAGCUAACGCGUUAAGUCGACCGCCUGGGGAGUACGGCCGCAAGGUUAAAACUCAAAUGAAUUGACGGGGGCCCGCACAAGCGGUGGAGCAUGUGGUUUAAUUCGAUGCAACGCGAAGAACCUUACCUGGCCUUGACAUCCAGAGAACUUUCCAGAGAUGGAUUGGUGCCUUCGGGAACUCUGAGACAGGUGCUGCAUGGCUGUCGUCAGCUCGUGUUGUGAAAUGUUGGGUUAAGUCCCGCAACGAGCGCAACCCUUAUCCUUUGUUGCCAGCGAUUCGGUCGGGAACUCAAAGGAGACUGCCGGUGAUAAACCGGAGGAAGGUGGGGAUGACGUCAAGUCAUCAUGGCCCUUACGGCCAGGGCUACACACGUGCUACAAUGGCGCAUACAAAGAGAAGCGACCUCGCGAGAGCAAGCGGACCUCAUAAAGUGCGUCGUAGUCCGGAUCGGAGUCUGCAACUCGACUCCGUGAAGUCGGAAUCGCUAGUAAUCGUGGAUCAGAACGCCACGGUGAAUACGUUCCCGGGCCUUGUACACACCGCCCGUCACACCAUGGGAGUGGGUUGCAAAAGAAGUAGGUAGCUUAACCUUCGGGAGGGCGCUUACCACUUUGUGAUUCAUGACUGGGGUGAAGUCGUAACAAGGUAGC
Molecule: ribosomal RNA, 729 nt
Filed under: uncultured bacterium
Lineage: Bacteria
Description: bacterial SSU rRNA
Rfam family: Bacterial small subunit ribosomal RNA
Source: RNAcentral